This 498-nucleotide ribosomal RNA is filed under the name uncultured bacterium. RNAcentral describes it as "partial 16S ribosomal RNA". It matches the Rfam family "Bacterial small subunit ribosomal RNA", at positions 28 to 523 of the family's 1533-position model. The record is from RNAcentral.
GAUGGACGCUAGCUACAGGCUUAACACAUGCAAGUCGAGGGGUAGCAGGGUAGCAAUACCGCUGACGACCGGCGCACGGGUGAGUAACACGUAUCCAACCUUCCCAUAACUCGGGGAUAGCCUUUCGAAAGAAAGAUUAAUACCCGAUAGUACUUUAUUAAGGCAUCUUAAGAAAGUUAAAGAUUUAUUGGUUAUGGUUGGGGAUGCGUUCCAUUAGAUAGUUGGUGAGGUAACGGCUCACCAAGUCCUCGAUGGAUAGGGGUUCUGAGAGGAAGGUCCCCCACAUUGGUACUGAGACACGGACCAAACUCCUACGGGAGGCAGCAGUGAGGAAUAUUGGUCAAUGGGCGAGAGCCUGAACCAGCCAAGUAGCGUGAAGGAUGAAGGUCCUAUGGAUUGUAAACUUCUUUUAUAGUAGAAUAAAGUGAACCACGUGUGGUUUUUUGUAUGUAUACUAUGAAUAAGGAUCGGCUAACUCCGUGCCAGCCGCCGCAGUAA